Molecule: ribosomal RNA, 434 nt
Filed under: uncultured bacterium
Lineage: Bacteria
Description: partial 16S ribosomal RNA
Rfam family: Bacterial small subunit ribosomal RNA
Source: RNAcentral
AGCGAACGCUGGCGGCAGGCCUAACACAUGCAAGUCGAACGAACCUUUCGGGGUUAGUGGCGGACGGGUGAGUAACACGUGGGAACGUGCCUUUAGGUUCGGAAUAACUCAGGGAAACUUGUGCUAAUACCGAAUGUGCCCUUCGGGGGAAAGAUUUAUCGCCUUUAGAGCGGCCCGCGUCUGAUUAGCUAGUUGGUUGAGGUAAUGGCUCACCAAGGCGACGAUCAGUAGCUGGUCUGAGAGGAUGAUCAGCCACAUUGGGACUGAGACACGGCCCAAACUCCUACGGGAGGCAGCAGUGGGGAAUCUUGCGCAGUGGGCGAAAGCCUGACGCAGCCAUGCCGCGUGAAUGAUGAAGGUCUUAGGAUUGUAAAAUUCUUUCACCGGGGACGAUAAUGACGGUACCCGGAGAAGAAGCCCCGGCUAACUUCGUG